AGCGAUGAGCUGGAGUCUGGAGCAGAUGGCAGUGGAGAUCACAGACAGGACUGGAGAGGAGAGCCAGGGAAUAUAUUUGCAAGCGGAGCGUGAGCAGCGGAAUAAAAGGCAAAGAGAGCGUUGUGACAGUCUUGUCAAGCGGAGUGAUGAGAUAAUGAAUCCGUCAUCAGCUGACAAGACAACAUCAUAAAACAACAGUUGGGUAAUUGAAUUCCGAAGAGGCGCUUUGACAAGCAAGAGAACAGAGGCACAACAAUGGUGAUGAGGUUACAGGAAAAGCAUGGAUAAUGGCCAAACAGAAGCACACAAUUGGAUAAACAAUGUAUAUGACAAACGGACAUUUCUUCUCUGAUGACGUUUACUGAUGCGAGGGCGGGACAACCAGACAAUUACAUGAGAUCAACCAAUAGCAAACCACAGCCAUCAAACCAUCCAAUCAAUUCUCCAUGGACAAAAUCAAGUCCCGUUCACCAUUUUUUCCUUGUUCGAGAAGCCGUUUUACUUGGAUAUACAUCACAAUAGGGAAGAAAAGACAGAUUGCAACUUCAGUUUCAAGCCAACAUUAAGAGGGAUUGGAUUCUGCAAGGCAAUCGAAUUUUGUGACACCGACCUUAGCUGGGCAAACAACUUAAAUGGUCCCUGAAAAGUGUUGUUUUUACCCCCUAAAAGGUGUUUUACACUGAAUCUGUUUCCCUAUUCAAUACAACUUCAGUGUAUUUGGGACACCCAAAAGGCGAACACAAAAGCAAACACCUGAUAGCUAUUUGCAAGAAAAUUAAUCCGACUGUCAAACUUCAGCUGCUCCGUGAUUAUGAGAGUCACUGCCAUUACAAGAAAUCAGUGUUUGAGGAGCGGAGGGAGGGUUGGCCUACUGCCGCACCAUAAGGUAGUGAUAUUCUCCGCAUGUCCGCAGGCUCGUGUCCCAGAUGAUUAGAGUCUAGAGGAGAGAUCAGAAACUGCAUCUCAAUCAGACAGUCAAGGUGACUUCAUAGGAAGCUGAUUUCCAACACAGUCAUUACCAGAACCUGAACGUCAGUGAAAUCAGAACUCCAGCAAACCUGCUUAUUAGUAAUAAUGAGUGCAAAUUACUAGACUAUAGAUGUCCUUUCUAAAGCUGGGUGUCUGCUGUGUGAUUUUUUUCUGUUCUUUAAGUUUGUUGUUUGUCGCGUUGUAUGACACGAGCCCGGUGAGAUCUUGUGUUAAAGCCGAGGCAGAUUGACGGCGUUGACUGGAUGAUCAAUCGUGCCAUGUUCUGAUAUUGCCAAAAUUAAAAUGGUAACACACAAACCCAGCAAGCCCUUACAGAAAUGCUGGCAAUGUUUUGCCUGGCACAGAAAACAAAAGUUUGGAGACAGUUGGCUGGGCAUAAGAAGGAAUUUGUGGAGAUGGCCUGUCGUAGGAGCAGACACAUUUUAGAACUGCAACCCAAAAUUUCUGACACUGUCAGAAGUUCGUCAGAGGCUUUGACUCAUCUCAAAGGCAAUUAUUUGGCAGUCAGUGAGCAUGCCAAGCCAAGCCAUCAAAGUGUGCCCUACAAUGAAAGAAAUCUGUUACGAUUCCCAAAAUUUGUCUCAGACAACAAAUGAUGUCUAAAAUCGUAUUGUAUAUAAAUAAACAAGUUCAUAAAUAUGCAGCAGAGUGUAAUUUACAAAUAGAUCUGUUAAGCUUUAAAAGAUAGUCCCAUUAAUACCCCGUCCUAAAAAAGUUU
Ctenopharyngodon idella (grass carp) is the source of this 1708-nucleotide long non-coding RNA. RefSeq lists it as uncharacterized. Lineage: Eukaryota; Metazoa; Chordata; Actinopteri; Cypriniformes; Xenocyprididae. The record is from RefSeq and is a predicted model, not a curated record. The transcript is spliced from 3 exons.